RNAcentral lists this transfer RNA (83 nucleotides) under Neolecta irregularis DAH-3. It matches the Rfam family "tRNA". Rfam says of the family: Transfer RNA (tRNA) molecules are approximately 80 nucleotides in length. Lineage: Eukaryota; Fungi; Ascomycota; Neolectomycetes; Neolectales; Neolectaceae. The record is from Rfam by way of RNAcentral.
ACGGUUAUGGCGGAACGGUAUACGCGGUUUGCUUAGGACAAAUUGGUUUAACAACUAUGUGGGUUCAAAUCCCUCUAACCGUA